AAACAUUGCUUUAUGUUUUUUUAUAAGGUUAACCCUGCUCAAUGAUAUAUUAAAUAGCCGCAGUACUUUGACUGUGCAAAGGUAGCAUAAUCAUUUGGCUUAUAAUUGAAGUCUGGAAUGAAUGGGAGUAUGGGUAGUUACUGUCUUACCAUAAAUAAUUGAACUUACUAAUUAAGUGAAAAUUCUUAUAACAAUAUAAUAGACGAGAAGACCCUAGAAAUUUUAUAUAUUUAUGUGGUUACAUAGGUUAUUUUGUUGGGGCGACAGAACAACAUUUAACUUGUUUAUUACUAUUUGACCUUAUUGAAAAGUGUAACUAAAUUACUCUAGGGAUAACAGCAUAAUACAAAAGAGUUUGUGACCUCGAUGUUGGACUAGGAAUAUUAUUGUUUAGAAGAUAAUAAUAAUAGCUCUGUUCGAGCUAAAAUUCCUACGUGAUC
Molecule: ribosomal RNA, 440 nt
Filed under: Pyrenaearia cantabrica
Lineage: Eukaryota; Metazoa; Mollusca; Gastropoda; Stylommatophora; Hygromiidae
Description: partial 16S ribosomal RNA
Rfam family: Archaeal large subunit ribosomal RNA
Source: RNAcentral